RNAcentral lists this unclassified non-coding RNA (622 nucleotides) under plant metagenome. Its description in RNAcentral is "partial contains small subunit ribosomal RNA and internal transcribed spacer 1". The stretch from base 67 to 379 matches the Rfam family "Group I catalytic intron". From Rfam's summary of the family: Group I catalytic introns are large self-splicing ribozymes. They catalyse their own excision from mRNA, tRNA and rRNA precursors in a wide range of organisms. The record is from RNAcentral.
AAGUCGUAACAAGGUUUUCCGUAGACACAAGUCUCGGGAUCGUUCGAUCCUUCUGCAGUACACUUGCUGAAGCCUUGUAUAGCAGCCCGUAAGGGUGAUGUAGCGCGACUGUAAACAAUGUUACCCUGCUAGUCUACACCGUAGGCGACACUGUUAAAUUGCGGGGGACACCCUAAAGACCUCAGCACCAAGCACCCCUGGACGACGGGGGUGUGGCCUGGCUCGCAGCCAAGGGUAUGGUAAUAGUCUGGAGGUAUGCAACAAUGGGCGAUCCGCAGCCAAGUCCUCGACAGGACGCAGUUCACAGGCCAGAUGAUAGUGGGAUUGCACUGCGAAGUGCACUCUUAAGAUAUGGUCGGUCCCUUGGGGAAAUCCAAGGGUUAAGUACUUUGAAACCAAAAACGUUCCGUAGGUGAACCUGCGGAAGGAUCAUUAUCGAGAUAGGGGUCUUUUUAGGCCCGACCUCCAACCCUUUGUCUACAAAGCCUCUGUUGCCUCGGCGGGACGCCGGCGCCCUUACGGCUGCCGGCAGUCGGCCUCUGCGCUCUCGAGUGCCCGCCGCAGGACCUUUAACUCAAGUUUUUAAACGAGAAUUCUUAGUAGCAAUUAAUGCUUCAACAAA